This 208-nucleotide ribosomal RNA is filed under the name uncultured Mesotoga sp. Its description in RNAcentral is "partial 16S ribosomal RNA". It matches the Rfam family "Bacterial small subunit ribosomal RNA", at positions 567 to 774 of the family's 1533-position model. Lineage: Bacteria; Thermotogati; Thermotogota; Thermotogae; Kosmotogales; Kosmotogaceae. The record is from RNAcentral.
GAGCGUAGGUGGCCUAACAUGUCAACUGUGAAAACCCGGAGCUCAACUCCGGACUUGCAGUUGAAACUGGUAGGCUUGAGGACGGUAGAGGAAGACGGAACUGCCAGUGUAGGGGUAAAAUCCUUAGAUAUUGGCAGGAACGCCGGUGACGAAGGUGGUUUUCUGGGCCGGUUCUGACACUGAUGCUCGAAAGCCAGGGGAGCGAACG